GAGAUUGUCUCCCCGGUUGCAGGGGCCCACCACAACCCCCAGCCUCUCUCCACUCUCCUUUACCCUUUCCCAAAUCCACCACCGCGGUCCCCUCAUCCCCUCGCCCAAAUCCACCGCCGCUUCAUCAUUUCGAGGCGCGCUGCCAGAGGUUCGUCGGAGAUUGGGAAGGCAUUAUAGAAGUGGGAGGAGAGAACCCAACCCAAUCGGCGACCCAGGAUAGAGGGGCCUGAGCUCCGCGUGCGGUGACCACCAAGCGGAGGCAGAAGGCUGGCGUCCGGGGCCGCCGCUUCUCUGCCACCGCGUCCACGAAGCGAGGGUUUGAAUGGGAGGGACACCGCGCGUCUGUGCAGCUCGACUCCUAGCGGCGAAGUGUGAGAGCCAGAAGUGCCAUCUUCAGCGGUCGAGGAAUCGGGCCUCAAAUCACGGGGGGUGUGGGAGCAUGCUGAUUUCAGAGGGGCCGAGGUCAAACUAUGGCUGGCCGCCGGAGGCUGUCGCGCUCGUGCAGCUCAUAUUCUCUGCUAGCUUGGCGGGCCCCUUGUCUUCAAAAGGAAUGCUGGGUUUCUCGUAGUAACUGGCGCAGUGGCAUGGUUAGUUAGAGGAUCCUCUUUUUUUCUUGAAUAAUCUGGGAAUCUGAGCAUCUCGGUAUUAGAAAGAGCUUACAGGAUAAUUUAUGGGGGAAAGGGGAUAAAAUCACAGCAAUGUCUCGGAAACAUGCUUUCUUCUAGAGACAAGGGGGCAGUGCCAUCUGUGCGUCACGGCCACCUAGUGUGGUGGAGUUAGAUCUGGGAAAGCGUUAUCUCGAGUGGUUGAGGAACUAGCCCGCAAAUCCUCGGCCUCACUAAAUUCUAAAGUCAAAGCAACAUUUUUGAGGUUUUGUGCACACGCCCAAGCAAGAUGGUUCAACACCCACUUUCAAAUGCUCAUGCCGGAAGAAACAAGGGGGAAAUACUGGAAAAAUAGUUGCAAUCAGGAUGAACAAGGCUUUUGUAAAAGAGAAGGCGUCUGAGAGGGCACAUCAAGAUAGAAGCUCACCCCUCAGGUCCAUGGCCACCAAAACGGGGGCAACAAUUGUGACAAUGGAAGAGAGGACAGAUGGAGAAGGAGAGGUCAAGGGGGAGGUUUGGGGGUCUGCGACUGGAAAGGGGAAGGAGGAUUUGGUGCGUCGGCGUGAGGCUACUGCUAAUGUCAGUAGGGGGAGCUGAAGUUACGAUUGUGAUAGACUCGCCCCUGGGGGCCAUGUGCGUGAGGGGGCCAUUUCUUUCCUUUUUGGGUUUGCCAGCUGGAUCUGGGAGAGGUCCACUACCAAUAUUAGGGUGUGUGCUCUGGACCGCUAGCCAGCCAACGGUUACUGGCUAGUCGCGUCCAUAAAAAAAUAUGCGUUUUCUUGAACCGUGGAAAAUAUUCAUAUCUCAUUCAGUUCGUCUCUCACAAAAAAUGCUUCGAAAAUGACCCUUGUUUCGUUUUUCCCUC
Molecule: RNA transcript, 1470 nt
Organism: Triticum aestivum (bread wheat)
Lineage: Eukaryota; Viridiplantae; Streptophyta; Magnoliopsida; Poales; Poaceae
Exons: 7
Source: RefSeq, a predicted model, not a curated record